Molecule: unclassified non-coding RNA, 148 nt
Organism: Macaca fascicularis (crab-eating macaque)
Lineage: Eukaryota; Metazoa; Chordata; Mammalia; Primates; Cercopithecidae
Rfam family: Metazoan signal recognition particle RNA
About the family: The signal recognition particle (SRP) is a universally conserved ribonucleoprotein. It is involved in the co-translational targeting of proteins to membranes.
Source: Ensembl
GCUGGGUGCAGUGGCUUGCACCUGUAUUCCCAGCACUUCAGGAGGCCAAGGUGGGAGGAUUGCUUGAGCCCAGGAGUUCUAGGCUACAGUGACCUGUGAUGGUGCCACGGUACUCCAGCCUGGGUGAUAGAGUAAGACCUUGUCUCUU